Molecule: non-coding RNA, 10665 nt
Organism: Rattus norvegicus (Norway rat)
Lineage: Eukaryota; Metazoa; Chordata; Mammalia; Rodentia; Muridae
Source: RefSeq, a predicted model, not a curated record
CUGAGUACCGGAGAGAGUAGAAAGACUCUUGACUACAAUGGUUGAAGAUUAUGUCCAUAAGAUCUAAGAGCUCUCACUAUUCGUCCUUGCUAAAGAUAACAUGGGUCAGUUCUGUGGUUCUAAUUCACAAACGGGGUGGGGGGGAUAUUGACAGAAUUUAACACGCGUGAAUUGAGAAGAAGUUUGAUGGCCUGUCUUUGACACCACCUGUUUUUGAGUUCCUUCUGUUUUUUUCCUGACUCUGUUUUUGAUUGAUGUUCAACAGUCGGUGGGAAAGGUUCAUAUAAUGGAUGGUCUCUUAAAUUCUUGUACUGAUUUGUAUUUCUAUUCGUUUCCCCACAUCCACUGGGCACUCCAGUUCGCUAGAUUCCUUUUAUUGGUGUUAAAGUAACUUUUGGUGACGCCUACUCUUAUCUCAUACUUUUACCUCAUGACUGCACUAAACAGGCCUUAAGGUUAGGUAGUAGUCAUUAAUUUAUUUGUAUUUCUGGAGAAUGAGCGUGGGGUUUUGGACAUGCCAAGUAAGCAUUUUACUGAGCUAUAAUCACUGUCCUUUUGGAUUUGAAGAAGAGUCUCAUUAAGUUGCCGAAGUGGCCUUGAACUUACUGCCUACCCUUCCUAGGCCUUGAACUUAUGGUCCUCCUUCCUUGGCCUCAUGGGUAUCUGGAACUACAGAUUUGUUCAGAUUAGAGUAGUACGUACAAUUUAUGGCAUUGCCUAAAGAAAUUUAAACAUAGCUAAAAUUGUGGAAUAUCCCAUUUAAUUCCCCCCUUCUUUUUCCAUUUUUAUCUACUAGGAACUAUUUUGAUGGUCAGGGAAACACUUAAAUGAUUUAGCGUGAAUGACUGAACUGAAUGUAAGGAGCCAGCUUGCUGGGGAUUAAAUAAAUCCUGCUUUCAUUUCGGCGAAGGCCGCUCCAACUAAGUUUUCCAAGCAUUUGUCAUGCAGCAAGGAGAACCACAGGCCCUUAGCAGAAUUCUCCGCUUUCACUCUGCCGGUCUCAGAGGCAAUGCUGUCUGCAUACACCGUCAUGAUAUUUCCGUAACAAAGCACAGUUGACAAAAAGGGAACCGCCAAGAAAAUAGAUUUGUUUCUGCAGAUGGCAGGAGAAGGGAUGGGGUACCUGGCCAUGUUUCACAACACAGUUCACAACAUCCCAGUCUCUCUGCUGCUCAGUCUUUCACAGGCCAGAAGGUAGAAGAUUGUCUGUUUGCAGGAGACUCCCUCAGGAAUCGGUGUGAGAUGUUCAAACGCACCCGGAGUCAGCGUGCUGACAAUGAUCAGGAAAAAAAGAUGAACCCCACGAGCAUCUGGGCUGUGUACAAAGAGCCAUCGCGUCGCAGACUCGGGAGUGAUAUAUGACCCACCUGGAAAAGUGCAUUUAGCUUGGAUAAGCUCGAUUCCAGAAGUACAGGGACCGUUGGAGAGAGUUAAGAGAAAACCGUUUUGAAUGAUGAGGUGACUGGGGAGGUGAGGUUGGGAAAAGGACUUGGGAGGAAAGAUUAAAGCAACUGACUGGGGAACUUCUAAGAUUUGACAUGAUAAGGGCCAACAAAUAUUUGAGCAUAGCAAAUACCAAAGAGACGUUAUUUGGAAUGCUAAAAGCCGUAGAAAGAAAGCAAUCCUGCAAUAUACUAACAAUCUGCCAAUGUAAGGGAGGGAGAGGGAAAAAUUUAAAAAAAAAUCUAGUAACUCCGGAAUAUUCUCUUGAGAGUUUAAGAAGCUUUAAUUCAUAUCCUAUUUGUUACAACAUACAAAGAAGCCCUGGGUGCUGGGGAAAAGAUGAGAUUAUAAGGGGUGGGUGGUGGAUUAUGUUAGUGGAGACGUCCUCUCCUGCUUCACAUUCCUAUAAGUCUAUUAAACACGAAACACUAAUUUAUGUUGAACCUUGCAGUCCGGUGAGGUUUAAAGCAAACUCUGAAAGAAGUCAUUACUUCACAGUGUGCCCUGGAUCCCUGACUGUCACAGGGGAGAAGCCAGUUUUUAAUCUGCAGUUUUCCAAAAACAAUUCAAUUAAAAAUAAUAAAAAAAAAAUCCUGCCCAUAAGGGUUAAUAGCUGCAGAGGUGUCCAACUGAUAUUCAAUCGCAGAACCUCCAAUGCUCUUUUCAUUAAGCCUCUGGUGUCAGAGAGGUUUUUUUUUCCCCUUAGCUAGGGCAAGAUAAUUGUUUUGGGGCUAAUUUCUUAGGCUAUUUAAUAACACCUCCUGCUAGACUUGCCACGUAAACUCAGCAAGUGGAUACAUCCGGAGUAAUGGAAAAAUAUGCGCGCUCAUUUUUAUAGCUCAAAUUCAUACUUCCCUUUGCCAGAGAGAGCCUGCUGUUAGCAAGUGUCAAUGCCGCCUGACCAUGCCGGGUAAGACUGGAUUAGGAGACCAGCUGACAGUGCAGGAAGGGUCCACUCUCCAGCAGGAUUUGUAUGUAAAUUUUAUCAGUUCAUAUUUCUGUAGAUACAAAACACUCGACGGGUUUUUUUUUUCCUUCAGUCAGCAAAAUAAUGAACAGGGCAUGCAAAAGACCCUAUAAGACAGGCUGACACUGGGCCACGCGUGUAAACGGGCUUUGUGGCUUCUUUCCUCCUUUCUUUUAUUUAUCUUUAUCUUUCCUUUCUUUUUCUUUUAAACAUGGCGCUUUGACGGCUCCGUGCCUCUACAGGUCACGACUAAAGUGUGAAUGCGGGAUGCAAACCCCGGUCAUCACACUUUGAGUUGUGCUAAGGGGCAAGCUGUGCAUUACGUUUCCUUGCCCAUCCCUUGGAAGAAGUGCUGUUCUCUCGUCUUGAGGGAAAAGGCAACGUACAUCCUGCAGCCUCUUGGCAGGGCCAGGAGGUUCCAUAGAUUGUCCUGUGAAAUUCCCAUUUGUGUCGAUGGAGAAUCCAGGCACCGGGAAGAGGAAACCCAAGACUCUCACAACAGUGACAGAAAUCUCCGAGCGAAGCAAGAAUGUGAAGCAAUGGUGUGUUUUAAACCUGAGGUACUGUGGUGAUCCAUUAUCCUGCCAGUGACGCUGAGCCUCAGACCUGUGUGUUCACGUGUACCCAGGGAUGACUAACACACGUGGGAUAUUCCCUUUGGUGUGUUUAAUAAUUUUAGUCAAAAUAGGAAACGUACCUACAGUUCACCUCAUGCCAAAUCAAACAAGAUUACUCACAUGACCCAUGUCUCGCUGAUAGAUGAAUUCUGACGGGGAAAUGUCAAAACAUGACGCAUGGCUUUUGAUUUGCACUUAGUCUGCAGGGAGCUGAGCGGUGGCUCUCUCCAAAGGAGAAAAACCCCAGCUAGGGCUUCCCUGGAAACUUCUACAAGAAUUCAUACAGAACUGGCCCCCAGCUGCCAUUUAAAAGGUCUCUUCUCUUGGAGUAUCCAAACACACUCCAAUGUCCUCAGACUGGCCAUUUCGGCCUUCAGCUUCGGAAAGUCGUGAUAACUCAGAAUGACAGCUAGACAUGGAAGUAGAAGAAUGACAAGGAUAAACAGGUAUGGGGGUGGGGGGUGGGGACAGAGCAAGGGCCACACUUACUGUAAGGACACUAAGGCUUCCACAAACCUCUAUUAUCACCCACAAGUCAUAUCAGGUGGGAGCCCUGUGAGGUAACUCUGUUGUCCUUAUUUCAAGGUCAAGACUUAGGACCUUGUGUGUGUAUGUUGUGUGAGUUUGAGUGUGUGUGUGUGUGUGUGUGUGUGUGUGUGUGUGUGUGCCUAGAGGUUGAUACUGAGUACCUUCCUCAGUAGAUGACUACUUUAUCUUUUUGAAGACAGGGCUUUUCACUGAAGCUCACUGUGUUUAUAGACUGGCUGGCCAGUUGACCUAUGAGUUCUAGAAUCUUCUGUCUCUGCCUACUCCCAGAAGAGAGGGGUGACAGGUGUACACCGUGUCUGUCUUUUACAUGGCGUGCUCAGGAUGGCACUCACAUCCUCAUGGCCUUGUGGUAAGAACCACUGACCUGGCCACUUUUGUUGAAAAUCAAGUGCUAUGUAUGGAGUUGGACUUGAAUCCACAUCCAGCAUUAUUAAAGACUUCCAACAGGGUCCUUCUCUUCUUUAUUAGCACCACAAGGUGAUGAACCUUAUCAUACACAUACUUGGGGGAUAAAUACUGAUUUUCUUGUGUGUUUUUAUCCUCUAAUGUCACUUUUGGUGGUUUUAGGCCAGUUUAAUAUAGGUUUUCAGAUUCUAAUUUUUUUCGGUGGUGGGUGUUGGAUGGCUCCUUUUGUAUGAUCCUGAUAAAUGACAGUUGGUUGUACUGUACUGUUUUACUGAGAUAUUUCUUUUUUCUCCCUGAGUGCCAACCACAAAGGGAGGAGAAAGAAGAGGUUCUUUACCUGGAUUAUAUAACCUGGACACACAAGCUAAUAACAUUAAGGAGGGUGACGACAGCCAAUGAGUGCAGACUUCAUUUGUCAGGCCCACUGUUGGAUGGUUUGUGGACAGGAGUUAUUCCAGUACUCGCGACAUGCUGAGCAAAGUGUCACUGUGACAGUUUCACCAAUCCCACAGUGGCCCUAAGUCCCCGAGGAACCAGGUAAGGUUGUAGUAAGUCUCUUGAGGAACCGAUCUUAUGGAGAUCGGACCUCCUUCAAUUACCUCUUGCACUGUCAGCAGGACAGUGUUUAGAAAUUGGGGGGCUCAGUCAAGUAACUUUACUUAAAGGAACAAAUGAACCUUCCCUGACACGUCAGACUGAGUGAAGAACGUCACUAGGAAGACUGUAAUUGUCUAAGCACCUUCCUUCCCUUCUCAUGCUUUCAUUUCUUACUAGAGAGCUGAGGGUGGUCUUGAACCUCCCGUCUUCCUUCCUACACUUCUGCUUUGUAGAUUAUAGAUUAUACCCAUUCAUAUAUAGAUUUACCCAUUCAUGCUGUGUUGGGAUGGAGCUUUCUGCAGCUCUGUAUCUGUCUGUUUCAUCCUGCCGAAGGUGAUUGUGGGGGAAUACUACAGAUACAGUGCCAUACUGACUGUGCACUUGUGACUUGUGCACACACACACACACACACACACACACACACACACACACACAUGUCCCCAGUAGAUACCAUGUUAAUUCAUACACCUGCAGGAGAAAAGCUUCCUUUUAAAAUGCCCAGCCAAGUGAGAAGAGCCUAUAGGGAUGACUUAAAAUAUUCAAAGGUGAUGCUAAGGAAAGAGAGAAGAAGGCUGAGGCAGUGUGACAGCUCUGUGGCCUAAACAUGAACAAAUCAUGCCACAGUUACGGUUGGCUAACUGUGUGUCAGUCCACUGCAGAGGGACAGAGAGCAGAGCAGAACGGGGGAACACUGAAAGACGCAGGUUAGAAACUGGGAGAAGUUUCGCAUCAAAGAAAAACAAACAAAAGAAAUUACAAGCUCUCUUUUUAUUGGAAAGAAACGAAGACUUGGGAUAUAUUGAAUUAGAAGCACCCGUAAAAGAAGAAAGCGAGCAAGGCAAGCCCAGACCUGCCCGCGGAGAGAGGUGGAGCCGGGACCUGUCACAGUUGUGUGAAAGUGUCUUUAGCUGAUACAGCAGCAUUCUUUUCGAAGCACUCAAGCACACAAGAGAUUUCUCAGAGUUUCCACUCUGAAUCAGGAAGUUUUGUGUCACAUUCAUUAAUUUUUAAUACCGAGUGAGUUUCCUAAACCCUCAUUAUUCCCUUUUAUACUUUGGUGUGAGACUUCUGUUUCAUUGUGUAUAAAAAUAUAUCAAAAUGAAGCUGAUUGUUUUAUCUUAGCCUUAGAUUUCGAGGAAAACUUCAGUAUCUCUUGGGUAUUAAACAUACAUUGGGGCAUUCUCCCUCCCAUUAACUUUGCUUAAUUUAAAAUGGCAAGAGAGACAGAGAGAAACAGAGAGGGAGGAAGAGAGAAAGACAGAGACAGAGAGAUACAAAGACUGAAAGACAAACAGACACAGACAGAUAAACAGAAAGACAGAGACAGAGAGACACAGAGAGGGAGGAAGAGAGAAAGACAGAGACAGAGAGAUACAAAGACUGAGAGACAAACAGACAGACAGAUAAACAGAAAGACAGAGACAGAGAGACACAGAGACACACACACAGAGUCAGACACAAAGAAAGACAGACAGAGAGACAGACACAGACACACAGAGAGACAGAAAGAGGGAGAGACACCUGAGUUGACUUCAGACCUCCAUAAGCAUGGUGACACACAUGUCUGCAUGUGUACAUGCACACACAUGAACAAAUAUAUGUGCUUCUCUUUCUGUCUGUCUCUCUGUCUCUGACUCUGUGUGUGUCUGUGUCUGUGUCUCUCUGUCUCUCUGUCUCUUUGUCUCUGCCUCUCUGUCUCUGUCUCUGUCUCUCUGUUCAUUUACUAUCUAGAUGUUUGAGGGCACUUAGUCUGCCUAAUAAUAAGGUAGCCAUUUUUCCCAGGUUUUCUGGCACAAUCCAGUUUAUAUGUCUAGCUCUGGCAUUAUUGUCAGUAGUAGCUGUUUUCACUGUUAAAGAUAUCUAAGUUUAACCAAGAAAUCAUAUCGUUACUUCAACCUGCCCUUAAGGAAUCGUGAGAGGCAGGUAUCUAAGGUGCCAAACCCUGAAGAAUUUCUCCACAGUCCAUCAUUCGACUUACUGUGAAGCCAUAGGCAAUCACCUGUCUACUCUGAGAUCAAUUUUGCCAUCAGGAGCAUAUGGUUAAUAAUAGCCCAUACAGUUACUGAGAUGACAUGGAUGCAAUGGUGUUAUAUGUGGGUGGGCACACAAGUGGGGUGCCAUGACUACCAUGUAAGACGGAUGUGCGUUGACUCAAGGUCAUGGAUUUUUGCUUAGUGAUCAGCAUUUUGGGAAGAAAACACCUCUUAGUCACAUCCGUCCCUAUCGCCACCACCCCACCAGUCACCAAAGGAGGCUGGUCAUAAACACUAGCCGUGAUCCAUUUUCCCCUCUCAGUUCACACUUACGCUGCUCUGGGAUGUUGUGUCUUCGAUGCUUGGGUGUUUUCCUGGUACCCACGGCAGGAAUUAUUAUUAUUCUGUGGUCACUUCAAAGGGCUUUGCUUUACCAAGAGGACGGCAUUUGGCACUGAGCAGCCAUCCAGCAGUUAUAUGUGAGCUUACUUGCUAUAAGGAUGAAUGACUCAGAGCAUGGUAAAUGUCCCCUCAGUGUAGAGCAUACAUUUCUACCCUUGGGCCCUCUGGGAAGAACUCAGACCCUUCUGUCACGUGAGGAAGUUUCCUUGAAGUCCACAUCUUCAAGUGGUUUCCACCUAUCUAGUUGUCCACCUGUUUCUACUUUGAUAUUUUUUGAGAUUUAGGAAUUUACUAGCAUGUGCCUUAUGUUUUCAGACAGUGAGUUCCUAAGAUACAUCUUGCCUGGUGGCAUAUGUCUGCCUGUCUGACUGCACGACAUACCCUAGUGUGAGAGAGGGUGGGGACCUUCUCAGCUGCUCCUAGAUAGCUCAGAAGUUCUUCCUCACCGCAUUUACCUUGCAACUUUGAACAUGGUGUGUGUGUGUGUGUGUGUGUGUGUUUGUGUGUGUGUCUACAAGCAUGUGUGUGUGCAUGCUUGAGUGUGUAUCUCUAAGUGUGUGUGUGUACACAUGCACCGUGUACGUCCAUGAAUGUGGAGGCUGGAGGACAACCUUGAGCAUCAUUUGAUGCCACGCACAUUUUUAAAGGGGCAAAGGGUUUAGAACUCAUCAAGCAGGCUAGGGUGGCCUGGGACCACCACAUCCCAGGGAUAUAUGCAUCUCCACCUCCCCAGAACUGGGACCACUUAUCAUGGAUCUGAUUUUUUUCUAGGGGUGCUGGGAACCAAAUUCAGAACCUAAAACUUAUAUGACAAGUCCUUUGUCAACCGAGCACCUCCCAGCCCUGAUAGAGUAUGUCAUGUCUCUGAGUCUCGGUCUCUUGUUUGUAAAAACAGGAAUAUCCUUGUACUUGUCGGAGUUUUACAGAUUAAAUGUGACAAUCUCUGGAAGGCCUCCAAGCCAUGUAACAUGAAUUCGCCUCAUGCCACUCAUGCCAUUGCUUCUUGACGUCGGCUAAAACGGUUAAUGACACUGGGUCAAGAGACACUGGCGGAGACCAGCCUGCGUUGUCUCUAGUGAAACAGGGAGCCAGGUGCUACCUGCCUAACUCCGUCAGAGUGUCUGCAAAACACAUCAUGGAACCUCCCUCGCCUGUCGGGGUUUUCUCUUCCAAGUCCCCACAGCUGCUCGACUUUGAGUGGGCAUGGUUUAUUAAUGACCUUCCCUGACUGGGCAUACGUGUUUUUGGAAUCCAUUUCCCUCAGGACCCAUGUACAUGAGUUCUCCUUAGACUUUAGGAAAAGCCUCAGUGAAUGGCAUCAGAAAUGGCAUUCCCAGGUCCAGGGUCCACUCAGCCCAGCUCUGCACUUAGGUGUCCUUCAUGAUACAGGUUCCUGGAUAUACACACAUCCAGGCAUGGUCUCCAGGAAGUGCUAUGGCUGCAGAUGCAGUACAGCCAUACAUCACUUGCCUAGGAUAUGAAAGCCAUGGCUCAAAACACGGUCUCACGACCAUCCAAAACCAUACCACCAGCAAAAAUAUUUAAACAUCUAUAGUCUCACCAUUCAGGAGUCGAGGCAAGAGGGUUGUUGUGAGUUGCUGGUUAGCCUUGGCUAUGUAAGUGAGCUUCAGACUUUGUGUAAGUUAUGUCUCCCUCCUAAGAGUGCUCUGAGGAGACCACGCUCUCCUCGGCACUACACUCAUAGAAAACCACUGACACAGCCCAUCCUAUUCUUUCUCUUCCUUAGGCUUGGAAUUUCUAGAGCAGGUUUUCACUGACGAUGCAGCAGACUGCCGGGUAUCCAUUUGUGUGAGAGAUGAGAAGGUUUGACGCACAAAGCCACCAGAAUCUUGGCAACAUUGAGUCAAUGGCACCUAGCACAUCACAGUAUUAUAAUCGGCGUUUGCCCAGCUCCCUUCCCCCUUACUUGCAGAAACCAAAACCAAAACCAAAAACAAACCACUGACUUCCACUAAGAAUGUCUUUUAAGGACAGCAAAAACUAUUGCAAAAAUCCAAAUCCCUGAACAUGUAUCAUUAACAUGACUUAUGACAGAAGCAAAAUGCCUCCAAAACAUAGUUCAAUGUCUAGGAAGAUGGCUCAGCGGAAAAGGGAGCUAACUAUGCAAGUGUGCAGUCCUGAGUUCAAAUCCCCAACAUCUCAGUAAGACAGGGGAACAUUACUGCACAGUCUUAUGAUGCCGGCACAUGGAGCAGAGAUCCUGGAACUUUCUGGCCAGCCUAGCGACAAGCUUGAUGUUUAGAGAGAGAUGAGAGAACUUCCUCACACUCGUGUGCAUGCAUUACGCACACACACACACACACACAUACACAUACACACACAUACACACACACACACAUACACACACAUACACACACACACAUAUGCAGUCCAAUUCCAGCAGAAGUCCGUCUUGUUGAAAACACUUGUGAACUCUUAGUGUCAGGGGCUGAACCCGAUGUCCCUGCCAUGAAUGUCAUCUCUACUUCAGGAGCAGCUAGCAGACACACUAGGGUGGACUUGUGUGCUCUGCAGAGAUAUUCUGUAGCAAACGAAUAAAGAGCCUGUCGCUGCAAGGAAGACACCCAAUGAGAGGUGUUGCCAAUGACAUAAACACCCAGAUACAAAGCGUCACCUAACGAAAGAUGUGAGCCUGCCCUGUGAGCUUGAUCCUUUCCCACAUCCUUGAGAUGGGCUAUUCUGAUGCACUCGGUGCUGACGGUCACAGAAGUGUUCCUUCGUAGGUGUGCAACUGUGGUGGCAUUUAGGAAAUUCUGUAUGUCAGUGAAACUAUUUUCCAAGUGAGCAAUUCGCGAUGUCUCAGCAUCCUGCAUGUAAUCUAUGGGGAAAUAUUUGCUUCAAAUGUAAGACUUAUCAAAGCAUUUUACUAUAAGCAAGCUUUAACGUUUUCUUUUUUUUUUUCUGUGUGUGAAUGUGACCAUGCAUGAGUAUGAGCACGUGAGUGUGGAUGUACUUGGAGUCAAGGAGAGGGCAUCGGAUCUCCUGGGGAUGGAGUCAUAGGUAGCUGUGAGCUGUCUGAAGGUGCUGGGAAUUGAACUCUAAUUCAAAGCAGCAAGCGCUUUCAAUGACUGUACCACCUCCCUGUCCCUAACAACAGAGUUGUUAAACUAAACAUGGUUUCAAAUCCCAUCUUGCAAUUGGCCUCUACUCCAGAAGGUUUGUCACUGAGCAGAGAAUCAAGCUUACUUGAAAAGGUCAUUAGAAUAUUCUUUCCUAGCAAUUCUUACCUACCCAACACAACACCUCAAUAUGACAGACGGGCCUAGAAGGGGAGAGGAGAACGUAGUUCCCUCAACUCAAGCCUCAAACAUAUUCACAAAACAUUCAAAUAACAUCACUUCUCUUCCUAAUCUUCCAUUUUAGAAAUGUGCUUAUUUUUCUUUAAAAAGAAAAUGUGUUUUAUGGGGCUAGCAAGAUAGACCAGCAGAUAAAGGCCUUUGCCACCUCAAAAGCAAGCUUAGCAACCUGAAUUUGAUCCCAAGGCCUCAAGGGAAGCUAUGGGGAGAGAAAUGGCUCCACGAGGUUGUCCUCUAACCUUGAAGUGAGUGGAUGCACACACAUAAUCAUAUAUUAAAUUACAUUUUAUAAUGUGUCACAUGAAAUGGGCUUGUUAUGACUCUUUUAUUGAAUUAGCAAUGGCUCAUGCACGCACAAUAAUAAUAAAUUAAAAUUUAUAAUGUAUCACAUGAAA